AUAUAUGAAGUAAAUUUUACAUUUAAUUUCGACUUAAAAUUUAACUUGAAUAGUUCUUAUAUA
RNAcentral lists this transfer RNA (63 nucleotides) under Cerceris sp. SJW-2017. RNAcentral's name for it is "tRNA-Arg". Lineage: Eukaryota; Metazoa; Arthropoda; Insecta; Hymenoptera; Crabronidae. The record is from RNAcentral.